The sequence is a small nuclear RNA, 129 nucleotides long. Its record names the gene U4. It matches the Rfam family "U4 spliceosomal RNA". From Rfam's summary of the family: U4 small nuclear RNA (U4 snRNA) is a component of the major U2-dependent spliceosome. The structure of U4 snRNA from yeast and human has been reported. U4 snRNA presents a k-turn RNA motif in the 5p-SL related to recognition of Snu13 protein. The record is from Ensembl.
AGCUUUGCACAGUGGCAGUAUCAUAGCUAAUGAGGUGUAUCCAAAGCGUGAUUAUUGCUAAUUGAAAACUUUAUCUGAUACACUUGCACAGAGUAAAUACACAAUGGACAAAAAAGCAAUAAAUAAAUG